UAAGGCUGUUAACAUUCAAGAGAGAACCAAACACAGUGAAAAGAAAGCUACAAGAGUAAGAGAUGAAUAUGAGAUUCUGAAGAAGAACCUAUUAAACCAUGAAAUGUCAGAUUUGACACAUUACUUUCAUAGCAAUUGAAGAACACCUGUUACUUCCCCAAAGAAAAAAAGAAAGUAGAAGAAGAAGAAGCUGCUAUCAAGAGGCGGGGAAGAGAAGCAGAAACAAAGGAGAUGAGGGUGGGAACGACGACGAGUAACGGCUGAUGGGGCGCCAGAUGGUCAGUGAUGGAGAAAAAGUUGAAGCAGAUAGGGGCGAUAACCAAUGAAGGAGACGAUAGGGGUAGCGGCCGAUGUUGUCGAAGGUGGCAACAGUUGACGGACAACGGCUAGUAGGGGCAACAAUAAUGGCCGAAGGUGGCGAUUGAAAGAGCUAACAGGAGGCAGAGGUUGAAAAAGAAGGGCAUGGCUAAAAAUUAACAAAAAGGAUGAAGAAUGGAGAAGGAGGCCACAGUAAAAGGAGGAGGUGACGGGGUGACGACGAUGGCUAGGGCGACGAUGAGAGGCGAUGACAACGAUGGUGAUGGCAAUGGACGACGGCAACAAUGACGACCAGAGAUAGGUCUAGCGGUAGCGACAAUAGUGAAGGUAGAGGAUGAAGAUGAGGGUAUGAUUGAAAUUAUGUAUUUUGUUUAAGGGUAAAAUAAACAUUUUGUUGGUCAAUAUAAUAAGCUCUUCACAACGUUUUUAGAAAAGCUAGGGGAUAAGAGCUUUUCUAAAAUGCUUGUGGAGAAACUUUUAAGCUUAAAAACCUUUAAGCUCUUGAGGGUUUGCCCAACAUUUAACAAAAUAAGCUUGACAGCUUAUAAGCUAAAUGAAUAGCUUAUAAGCGGUCAAACUGGUAAGCCAAAUACCCUGUUGGGACCAUCGGAACCCUUCUCUGACCUGUUUGCAGCAAGCCAGCGAACGCGACGGGAUCGACUUGACGACAAAGGAUUCGCCAAGACCAGCCUCGUAACAAUGGUAAACAAUGUUGAAUCGGCCCUGUCCAUUCUCCUCGCACACACGAUACACUUGCGCCCACGAUGCCCUAGUCACCAGUCGCUACCAUCAAUGCGCCUCAAUCGGCAUCGUGAGUCAAGCUGUGAUCUUUACCAGAAAUCACCGCACCUUCACUACUUCCUCGCAUUGUAACUAUAACCCUACCCAAUUUCUCAACCCAAACCUUAACUUGAUUUGAAGAUCCCUUACCCAUUAACCUAACCCAUUUAACCGCAAAAUCUCUAAAACGCACAACCCAAUUACCCAUUCACCAGUUUCCUAAUUUGGACCCUACUAUUCCCAAACCCAUCAACCCACAAGCCUUAUCCAACCCAAUACACAAACUUGUAGGCUUCAUUCCUUUUUACUCCGUCAACCUAACCUCCACUUUGCUUUGGUUAAAGGUACAUUCUUUCCUUUGAAAAUCUGAUUAAUAUUUAUUUAUUAGAUAUCUUUGGUAAAUUGUUUUAGGUCCAUUUAAUAUUCUUUUAUCGCCCAAAAAAAAUUCCAUUUGUUGCUUCUUGAGCAUUAUUUUUUUGUUAUUGAUAUUGUCAUUUAAUUUAAAUUUGUUAAUCCUAUUUGCGUAUCUUAAUAGGCUUCUUGUCUACAUUUAAGUUGCAAUUUGAAUGUUCUCAACACUCACGUAAUUUAUUACAUCACUCUUUGGCCGCCUUCUCCUUACUAUUUGUUUCCUUUCCAUGGCCCCCAACAAACAUGAACAACCUUCCUCCACUACGCCGAUUGAUCUUCAGUCGUUACAAAACUUAGUAAAAUCCAUUGAAACUAGAACUCAAGAGCCUUUCAAAUACUAUGGGAAACCUUUCAAAUACGGUGGGAACCCUUUCUAAUACGGUGGGAACCCUUAUUGAGUAGAUAACACAAGUCCUCAAAAUACUAGGUAAGUAAAAAAUAGGAGAUGACUUUGUAGAGUUCCCUCAUUUUAAUGAAUCUAUACAUGGUGCACUCUAUACCCCAAGGAUACACAUUGUUUCCAAUAAGAUUGCUCAUUCACAUGAAGCAUUAGCUCCUUUUGAACCUAGACAAUCCCAUGAUAGGAAUACACGUCCUAAAGCACCUAGGUAUGACUACCGGAGUCUAAACUUUGAAGAACCUAUAAAUCGACACAUACCAUGAAAGGAAUCUAGAAAUAGAAUAUAGACAAUCACCUCCACCCCAUAAUAAUAGACAAAAAUACAAUAGAGAAAAUAAUAGGAAUGUGAAAGUGGAUGUUCAGGAGUAUGGCAAUAGGCUAGACCCUAAUGUGUUUUUAGAUUGGGUAGAUGACAUGGAAGAUUACUUCUCUUGGUAAAACUAAUAUUGAGAGAGUUCAUUUCGACAAAAUGAAAUUAACUAGUUAUGCAAAGAAAUAUUGGUAGAAUGUUCGAAGUAAUUUUGAGAGAUUAGGUGAACCUCCCAUCACCCUAUGGGGCUGUCUUGAAGCAAAAGUUAAAAAGAAAUACCUACCCUCUUUCCAUAAGACUCAGUUACAACUACUACUAAAACUAAGACAAUCCAAUUUAAGUGUAACUGAAUACUUGACCUAAUUUGAAAAUCUUCUCAUUCGAUGUGACUUAAAUGAGGAUUCUUUUAUAAAUGGAUUAGGAUGGAGAUCCAGAAAAAGAUUUUGUUGCACUCCCCUGAGACUGUAGAGGAAGCUUAUCAUAAAGCCUUGCAGAUAGAAAAAUACCUUAAAGCCCCUCUUAUUCAUCGAGUGUCCACACAAUUAUCUGACUCCCAUCCAUUAAGGUCAUUUCCUCCACCUUCCCCUAGAGAUACCAAUGUCAAUUGCGUACUCCUUUACUCAGCCUCUAGGGAUAGCUUUGCUAGGAAUAUAAAUUUUCCUUAUAGUGAUUCCCAACCCAGUACUUCCUAUCCUCAUAACCCUUCCAUUCAAUGCCACCCUUGUCAUAAGAAAAGACACAUAGCUGCUCGUUGUCCUGAGCGUGCCUUGACUUUAUAUCACGAGCAAGAACUUACUAAUCAGCUUGAGGAUGUAGAUGGAUUGUUUAAUCCAUUAGAUUUUUUUUUGAGGAAAAGAAGAGGGUGAUGAUGAUUUGCUUUAGUAGAAUAGGUUAACAUUGUGAGAUGUGUAUUGACUAAGAGUUCCCAUGAUAAUGAAUGGAAGCGCAUUGGUCUUUUCUAGACAUGCAUUGGGACUGAUGAGAGAAUUUGCACACUAGUUAUUGAUGGGGGGUAGUACUAUGAAAGUGGUGUCUAAGUUUGCACUUCCUCGAGUCAAUCUUAAGGUAGAACCACAUCCAAAACAAUUUAAAGUUGUAUUGAGUAAAUAACACAACCUUGCCAGUCACGAAGAGAUGCCUUGUUCCUAUUCAACUGGGUGAUUACAAAGAUGAGAUUUUCUGUGAUGUUUUACCUAUUAAUGUUGCCCAUGUCUUUUUAGGUCGCCCUUGACUUUAUAACAUGAAUGUAGUCCAUUAUGGUCAAGAAAAUACCUAUGUCUUCAACUAUAAGGGUAAGAAACUCAUAUUCAUCCCUGUUAAACCUUUUAGUAAAGGCACUAGGACCAAGUUGAAGCAAGUACCACCAGUCACUAGUAAAAAAAAACACAUUCAUUUGAUAGCUCCUAAGGCAUUUGAAAAUGAUUGCCAAGAAAAUGGAUACGGGUUAGCCAUUAUAGCUAAGAAGUCUGCUUUAAGUUCUUCUUAAGAGUUUGGAGGUUGCCUAUAACAACUCUGUUAAUAGGUCCACUGGAAAAAGUCCUUUUGAGAUUGUUCAUGGUUAUUGUCGAGAAUUAAGGUUGGAAUUAAGUAUAGAGAAUUAAGGCUAGAAUUGAGGAUGUAAUUAGUCUUUUGUAUAUAGAAGUUUACCUUAAUUAGGUGAUUAGGAAAUCUGCCUCUAUUUCCAUAUUUGUAAAUCAUGUACUGUAUAUAUAUAUUUCCAUUGAUUCAAUGAAGAAUAUACAGAAAUUCUUACCCUAAUCUUCCACAUGGUAUCAGAGCCACCUUUUUAGGGCACAUUUUCUUUCGACCUUCAUCGCUUCUCCAAUCUUCAUCACCGCCAUCACAUACCUGCAGCUCUGCCUUCAUUGUAGUUCUCUAGUUCUUCCGUCAUCCCUAGAUUAAAAAUCUAGGAAUUUGUUCAGGCAUUCAUUACCGACAAAGCCAGUGCUACUAACAACCUUUACUAUUGUUGCCGACAAUCCCUCCAUCACCAGAAACUUGCGAUAAUAAACCUUUGCUACUGGCAACAACUUGCCUUGUUACCACACACCGCUUUCCAUUAUAACCUAUCUUCUGCCAACUAAUAAAGAUGUCUAUUAUUUCCAGUGAAUUCAAUUCCCACAAUAUAGAUGAAGUACUGGUAGUCUCAAGGAUUCUACCAUCAAGAGAACUACAACAAAUCAAUGAUGCCUACCAUUUGAAUGAAAAAAAUCACCUGAAAUAGUCCCAAUUGGUCAGGACUAUUUUAAAAGGGAAUGGAAAUAUCAACCAUAUCCUAGGGACCGGAUCGAGAGAAAGGGAUCCAACCCAUGUAGCAUGGGACAAGGAAGACUCCAUGAUAAUGUCAUGGCUCUGGAAUUCAAUGGCACCUGAAAUCAUGACACCUGCAUGUUCCUACCGACAAUAAAAGAAGUUUGGGAAUCUAUCUGACAAACCUACUUGAAGGUUAAAGAUGCUGCACAAAUCUAUGAGUUGAAUAUCAAAAUGACUUCAACUAAACAAGGAAAUAAGACAAUUACAGAAUAUGUUAAUCUCCUGAAGGGAUUGUGGCAGGAGAUGGAUCAUUAUAGGGUUAUAGAUAUGAAAAACAGUGAUGAUGCAGUAAUGUUAAAGGCCUUCAUAGUGAAAGAUAGAACCUACAACUUCCUGGCAGGUUUCAAUGUGGCGUAUGAUCAAGUAAGGGUUCAAAUUCUGGGCAAAGAAUCAUUAAAUGAAGUCAUUUCAAUUAUCCCAUCCAAAGAGGGUAGGCGAAGUGUAAUGAUUGAGCCCAAACCAGUCAAAGCAUCAGCAAUGGUGGCUAAUGGAAGAGGUCACAGAUCAAAAAAGGAGCAACCAAAUGGAGAAACUGGAAAAAAAAGACCCCAAACCUACGAGUAGUGAUAACCGUGACAAUAGGAGGUGCAAUUACUACAAGAAACCGAGACACUCAAGAGAUGUGCUAGAGGUUGAAUGGAAAGCCAUUAAGCAAGGAAUGGGGAAACAAAAGCAGACAGUUGCAAAAAAGCCAAGGGGAAGCCAAUAAGGCAACACCGCAAGGCGAGAAAAAAACCCAAGAACCAAAGGAGUUCAACAGGGAAGAGAUUGAGAAGCUGAGAAACCUCCUAAGUACCCUUGAAAAACCUUCUGGUAACUGUUCAUUGGUACAUUCAAGUAAACUUCCAAUCUCUCAUGCUUUAAAUGCCUCAGAUAGUCCCUUUAAAGAUUCAUAUUGAUUCAAGAACCACUGAUCAUGUGUCCCAUUCCUCACAAAAUUUCAGUCAUAUUCACCUUGUUCUAGUAGUAGAAAAAUUGCCACUGCUAAUAGUUUCUUAACCGUAGUAGCUGGGAUUGGAGAGAGAAAAGUCAGUCCAAACCUUAUUUAAAAAAUGUCCUUUAUGUUCCUAAAUUGUCCACUAAUCAUUUAUCAAUAUCCAAACUUUCCCAUGAUAUGAACUACAAAGUGACAUUUUCCCCAUCCUAAUGUUUAUUUCAGGACCAUGAUUUAGGAAUGAUGAUUGUACGUGCUAAGGAAAGGGAUGGACUAUACUAUCUUGAGGAAUUUGAGAAACCAUACUAUCUUGAGGAAUUUGAGAAACCAAAAGUUGGUAAGUGAAAUCAACCCCUAACCUACCUUUUUGAACAACAUCUAAUAGAUAAAGAGAAAAUUUGGCUUUACCAUUACAGGCUAGGACACCUUCUUUUUCAACUUUUGACCUUACGUUCCCUUUUUUUCCUUAAAGAGUUAGAUAAUAAGCAGUUUUAUUGUGAGAUAUGUGAACUUGCAAAAAAGCACAGAUGUGCUACUUUUCUCAACAAUAUCACAAGAUGUCAUUUUCCCUUUGAAUUGAUUCAUAGUGAUAUAUGGGGUCCUUUAACCAUUCCAAAUAUUUCUACGAGCACAUUAGUUUGUUUCAUUUAUUGAUGAUUGUAUAAGAGUUACCCAGCUAUUUUUGCUUAAAUCCAAAUCUAAUUUGAGUGAUAUCUUUCCCAACUUCUUUUUCAUGAUCCAAAACCAAUUUAGGGUACACAUCAAAAAGUUUAGGUUGUAUAAUGCCAAAGAUUAUUUCAAUCAAACCCUUUCCACACAUUUCUACCAACAUGGAGUUAUUCAUGAGUCAUCAUGUGUCCACACUCCACAACAAAAUUGUGUUGUAGAGAGGAAAAAUAGCCAUCUCCUAAACACUACUCAAGCCUUGUUGUUUUAAAAUAAUGUGCCCAAACACUUUUAGGGGGAAGUAGAAGUAGUCCUUAUAGCCACUCAUGUUAUAAAUUGGUUACCAUCCCAAGUGUUAAACUUCCAAAGUCCCAUGGAAGUAUUAUCUUAAUUCUAUCCCGAUCUUAAUAUCACACUCUCUUAACUCCUAGAGUCCUUGGGUGUGUUUCAUUUGUUCAUGUCCAUAGUGAAAAUAGAGGGAAAUUGGACCCUAGAGCUACCAAGUGUGUCUUUGUGAGAUACUCUCAAACACAAAAAGGGCACAAAUGCUAUCAUCCACCUACUAAAAAACUCCUUACCUUCGCAAAUAUUACCUUUGUUGAAUCUGAACCAUAUUCCACAUAACCUUAUCUUCAGAGAGAGAUAUCAUUUGUGGAAGAUAAGCAUCGUGAUUUUUUCCUCCUUAACUUACCAUCAUAAUCUUCCUAAGCUUUCACCUGACUCUGUUACUCCAACACCUGCACUUGAACCUCUCUCACAUACCCAAAAUGAGUUAUCCUCGCAACUAAAAAAGGGAAAGAUCACUACUGACAAUUGGUUCUCAAAGCCCGAACCAAGGCUAGACUAGUCAUCAAACCCAACUUUUGGAAAUGAGGUAAUAUCCUUUAGCCCAUCUUUUGAUUUCUUAUCUGACCUUGAUUCCUUAAAAUAUGCUUUCCAUCCCAUAGAAGUUUCCUUACAAACAUAACCACAAUAUCCAUUCCCAUAACAUUAUUAGAGGCUUUAAACUGUGGGAAUUGGAAGAAUGCUAUGAAAUGCAGGCCUUGGAGAAAAACAAUACUUGGGAGAUUGUGAAUUUGCCAAUAUGAAAGAAACUAGUGGGAUGUAAGUGGGUUUUCACAGUCAAGUAUAGAGCAUAUGAGACACUUAAGAGAUACAAAGCUAGGCGCUAGUGGCUAAAGGAUACACUCAAAUAUAUGGGGAUAGAUCAUCAAGAAACCUUUGACCCAGUUGCCAAAAUGAACACAAUGAGAAUCCUUCUGUCUCUAGUAGUUAAUUUUGACUAGUCUUUGCAAUAGUUUGAUGUAAAAAAUGCAUUCUUAUAUAGAGAUAUUGAGGAAAUCUGCAUGGAAAUACCCCCAAGAUUCAACAGAAACAUAGCUACAAUUAAGGUUUGCAAACUCAAGGAAGCACUAUAUGGCUUGAAAUAGUCACCAAGAGCCUAGUUUGGGAGAUUUUCCAAGGUAAUGUAUUCCAUAGGGUAUAAGCAGAGCUAAGGUGAUCACACUCUAUUCAUUAAACACUCGGGUUCAAAGGGAGUUACUGCCCUUGUAGUUUAUGUUGAUUACAUCACAGUGACGAAAAAUGAUGAAAUGGAAAGGAAGAAUUUGGGAAGGUGCUUAGUUAAGGAAUUUGAGAUUAAGGAACUAGGAAAUUUGAAAUAUUUCCUAGGUAUUGAAGUGGCACUAUCAAGAGAAUGGAUCUUUAUAUCCCAACAUAAGUAUGUCCUCGAUCUCUAGAAAGACACAGAAAAAUUAGCUUGCAAACCAUCCAAUAUCUCGGUUGAUCCCAAUCAUAAACUUAGUGAAGUAGAGAGAGACAGAGAUACGAAUAGAGAAGCAUAUCAAAGAGUAGUUGACUGAUUAAUUUAUCUAUCCCACACACGAUCUGACAUCACUUAUGCAGUUAGUGUAGUGAGUCGAUUCACGCACAACCCCAAGGAGCUUCACUAACAAACAACCUACAAAAUACUACACUACCUUAAGGGAACCCUAGGAAAGGGGAUUUUUUUCAAUAAAUGAGACAAACUGACUCUAUAGGCCUACAUAGAUGCAGAUUAUGCAAGCUCAAUGGUUGAUAGAAGAUCCACCAUGGGAUAUUGCACUUUCUUGGAAGGAAACCUAGUCACUUAGAGGAGCAAGCAGAAUAUAGUGGCAAGAUCAAGUGCAAAACCAGAAUUUUAGGCAAGGGCGCAGGGAGUAUGUGAACUACUAUGGUUGGAGAUCAUUUUGGAAGAUCUAAGACUCAAAUGGGAUGAUCCUAUGAAGCUCUACUGCGACAACAAGUCUUCAAUUAGCAUUGCACACAAUCUUGUGCAACAUGAUUAAACAAAACACAUUAAAGUUGAUUAAGGAGAAACUUGAGAGUAGUCUCAUUUGUACACCUUAUGUACCAAAUGAAUCACAACUAGCAGAUGUCCCAACCAAGAGACUCAAUAGUCCAUUCUUUCAUAAAGUUGUAGCCAAGCUGGGAAUGGCCAAUGUUUACUCACUAGCUUGAGAGGGAGUGUUGAGAAUCAAGGUUGGAAUUAAGUAAAAAGAAUUCUAGAAUUAAGUAUAGAGAGUUAAGGCUAGCAUUAAGGAUGUAAUUGGUCUUUUGUAUAAAGAAGUUUACCUUAAUUAGGUGAUUAGGAAAUCUGAUUGUUUCCAUAUUUGUAAAUCAUCUAUUGUAUAUAUAUUUCCAUUGAUUCAAUGAAGAAUAUAUAAAAAUUCUUACCCUAAUCUUCCACAGUUACUCCCCUCGCACCCUUAUUAAUUGAUCUUGUACCCCUUACCCCUAGAUGCCCAAAUUUUUGAGCUUGCUGAAAAUUUUUCCCCACACAUCUAUGACCUACGUGCUAUAAUUAGAAGAAAAAUUGCAAUGAGUAAUGUUGACUAUAAACUUGCAGCCAAUACAUCAUAGGGCUCGAGAAUUUAACGAAUGUGACUAUCUCAUGAUUCAUAUUUGCGCUGAGCACUUCCCUAAACAUUCCUUCAAGAAACUACAUGCUCAAGCUAGUGGCCUCUUUCCUAUCAUUCAAAAUCUUGGACUUAAAUGUUUAUUUAUUCGACUUAUUUAAUAAUAUGAAUAUUAGUCAUAUUUUCAAUAUGGAAGAGUUAACUCUUUACCGAGGCAGUGUUCUUGCAAAUCACUAGGCUCUUUGUAUACGAUGCAUAUAGCACCAAAAGGAUGUGAUGGAUGUUGUGCUUGACAAUGAGAUUGUGACUUCUUUUUGUGGUGGUGGUUAUUGUUGUUUUCUUGUCAAAUGGAAAGAUCGACAAGAUUCUAAUAACACUUGGAUUAUUAAAGGGGAUUUUCAAGUCUUGGAUCCUGAGCUUUUAGAGUGGUAUUUAUAAUCUAACUCAUUAUAGUUGAGUUCUUUUCAAUUGGGGUAGAAUGAUGAAGAUCAUAGAGACAAAUAUUUCGAAAAAUAAUAUUUUAGGUGUAAGAAAAGAAAUUAAUAUUAUUUUAUUAAUUUCUUUAUUUUAAUUUGUUUUCUAGUUUCUUUUAAUUUCUUUUAUAUCUUAGAAUCCUAAUUAAAUUAGGAUUACCUUUAUUAGUUUAAAUACCAAGGAAUCCUAGUUAGAAAGGAAUUCUUGUAAGAAUAGAUUUAUAUCUAUUAAUUGUCUAUAAAAAAUCUUUUAAUAGAGUAUUGAAAGACAUAUUUCGAUGAAUAAUAUUAAAUGUUGAUAUUGAUUUUUAGUAAUUAGGAUUACUCCUAGUUUUUUUGGUUCGGUUCUGCAUCUACUAGUCUCAUGUAAGUAGGUGUACAAAAUCAAAAGAAAAGCGUACGAAAAGGCUGAUAGAUUUAAAGCAAGGCUGGUUGUUCGUAGUCUAGUACCCAAGGUGAGUUCUAUUUGUGCGGCGCUGACAAUAGCGAUUUUUAAGGGUUGGUUGAGGCAAAAAACUUGGCAAGGGUAUCUACAUGGACCAACCACCUAGAUGUAUCUUGAAUAAGUGUGUCUUGAUUAUGGGUGCAAAUUGUGAAAGAGGCCAAAGCAGACAUCAAGUGUUGGUAUGGAAAGAUAUCCUGACUAAACCUAAUCUUCAGAAAAUCACUUAAAAAGAGGAAUGUUGAAUUUAUGAAGUUAUUUUUGUGAUAAGUUAAGGGAUAUAACUACUUGAUAUGUGAUAAUGAUUCCAAGUUAGCAUUGGAUUGUGAUUAUAGAUAAUUGUAGAAUUUUAGUUAGAUUUAAUUUUAGAUUAUUUUAGUCUAUAAAUAAGAAUGGUUGUUUUUAGCUUUCUUUAUUGUAGAGAGCUCAAAUUUUCUAGAUAAUACAACAGAUUAUUCAAAGAAAGAUCUUAUUCUCUUAUUUAUUGAGGUACUUUUUUCUUAACGAUUUGGCUAGUUAAUAAAAAAAAAAAAGUACUUUUUAACAAUGAAAUUACCAAAAAGGAUAAUGACACAAAAGCUUUUAUAGUUAAUACUAUUUUGAAAUAAAAAUGCUUUUAAUAUUUUUAAAAAAUUACUAUACUUUUUUACACUCAAAAAUAUAUUUCAUGUUAUAGACAUAUAAGUGUCAAAAAUAUAUUUCAUGUUAUCAUAAUGAUAAAAAGGGCAGCAGCAGCUGGUGAACGAAGCCAGCCGCUGCUGCCGUGAAACCCCAUGGCUGGGGGUGGCAAAACACUCAUAGUUGGGAAUCUCCCAGCCAUGGGGGUUUCGCUGUGGCGGCCGGUCCCUGCUGCCACACUACAUUUUUCUAAAUAUAUAUAUAUGCACAUACAUACAUAUAAAAUAUGUUCUGUUUUAGAAUAUAUAUUGAAUAUAUAUGUUCAAUAUAUAUAAGGACAAUGGUAAAUUUAAAUGUUUAUGGAGAUUAUUUUGUCUAUUAAAUAAUUCAAUUUUCUGCUUUGCUUUUGCUGUACAGCAAAAGCUCCAAAUUCUUGCUUCUGCCGUACAGCAGGAAAACUGUUUUUUUGUUCUUGUCAUUAAAAGCACUUUCAAAUUUUGGCCAAACAGUAAAAAAAAAAAACGAAAACGCUUUAAUUAUUAUAAAAAAAAAAAAACGCUUUAACCCUUCACCACAUCACGACCAAACAGGCUCUUAGAUAUUGUGUAGCAUCAUAACUUAGCUCUCUGUUUGAUUAAAUGAGUUUAGCUUGGUUAUGGCUUUGAAAGCUGUAUCCUAUUUCUGGAACCAGAAGAACUUAAAGUGAACUGCAUUUGUGAACCGCUUCCGAAAAACGGGUCUCAAAAUUCUUAGUGUUAGGGAACAACCAAAACGUGUUUUCUUCCUUUGAAAAAAUUAACAUGAUAUGAACAUGAAAUCUACUUGAAAAAAAUAGGUUUUUUUUCUAUGUUUUCAACGUUCUUCCAGAUUAAAAAAAAAGAAGUUAAAACCAAUAAAACAUCAACCAAUUGUAAUGUCAUGAAACAGUGUCGAUUCCAAACUAGCUUCAUGGAAUCCGAGAUAAAAUCUUAUUGUCAAGGCUUUAACCCAUAUUCACUAAAGCAAUUGUGAUCCUCAUACUCCUAAUGCAUGCUUACACAUUUCUCAUUUAAAUGACUCGAGCUUGAAAUGAUUGGAAGUGUGAUAUUAAUAUCAUUCAUACAGAUUGGAUAUUUCUCACAUUAAUUAUCAAGUCCCAAAAUGGUUCAGAUGUUUGCCUCACCACUAUAUCUUUUUCCCCCCUUUUGAUUCAUACAAGCAAUGGCUCAUUAAUUUUCCAGAGCACACAUUCAAACCUUGUUUAACCAAAUUUUUUAUCUUCUACUUAAGGUCAUGCCGGAAUGACAAUUACUGAAAAUCCAGCCAAAACUCCCUUUCUAAUUAUCCUCAACCUCAAACUAGUGUCACAAGGUGAAGUCAGAUGAUCACCCCACACAAAAAGGGAAUCAAAAAUGUUUAGAUGCUGGCAUCCUGGCACAUUUUAGUAACCAAUUUUGUGGUUUAUUCAACCAUUAUCUCUGUAUUUUUAAGGGAUGAAACUGAGUUACAACAACACUAUUCUUAGAAUAAAUAUUACGUGGUUACAAGCUUAUGAUAAAUGCCAAAUAAUUAGAAUAUAAAUGACCAAGCAUCAUGAAACAAUAAACUCAGGACAUGCAACCAAAAAGCAAAAAUGUUUGCUCAAACAACUAACCUUUCGA
Molecule: long non-coding RNA, 12202 nt
Organism: Diospyros lotus (date-plum)
Lineage: Eukaryota; Viridiplantae; Streptophyta; Magnoliopsida; Ericales; Ebenaceae
Exons: 3
Source: RefSeq, a predicted model, not a curated record